CCUACGGGUGGCAGCAGUGAGGAAUAUUCGUCAAUGGCCGGAAGGCUGAACCAGCCAUGCCGCGUGAAGGUCAGUGCCCUAUGGGCGUUAAACUUCUUUUGUGCGGGAGCAAUAAUGGUCACGUGUGGCCAGACGAGAGUACCGUAAGAAUAAGCAUCGGCUAACUCCGUGUCAGCAGCCGCGGCAAUACGGGGGGUGCAAGCGUUAGCCGGGUUUAGUGGGUUUAAAGGGUGCGUAGGCUGUGAGGUAAGUCAGCGUGUAAAUGCCCCCGCUCAACGGGGUGAAGUGCCAUUGAUACUGACUUGCUUGAAUGCGGAUGCCGUGGGAGGAAUGUGUGGUGUAGCGGUGAAAUGCAUAGAUAUCACACAGAACACCGAUUGCGAAGGCAUCUCACGAAUCCGCGAUUGACGCUGAUGCACGAAAGCGUGGGUAUCAAACAGGAUUAGAUACCCGGGUAGUC
RNAcentral lists this ribosomal RNA (460 nucleotides) under uncultured bacterium. Its description in RNAcentral is "partial 16S ribosomal RNA". It matches the Rfam family "Bacterial small subunit ribosomal RNA", at positions 338 to 795 of the family's 1533-position model. The record is from RNAcentral.